CUGGUCGGUCGCCAUCAGGGGCUCGGUCUUCACCCGGAGGCAAUUUCCAGUCACACAUAUUGACGUCUUGGUUCGUCUACUCUUUGUUUUCAUCGCUUAACGGCACAGGGAAGCGGCAAUGACUGAGACCGCGCAAGGAACAACAUCUGAAAGCGGCUGCGUCAACCACUACAAGCGGCUUUACCGGGACUGCCGCGACGGGAACGGA
Non-coding RNA from Dermacentor andersoni, 208 nucleotides. Lineage: Eukaryota; Metazoa; Arthropoda; Arachnida; Ixodida; Ixodidae. The record is from RefSeq and is a predicted model, not a curated record.